Molecule: ribosomal RNA, 484 nt
Filed under: uncultured bacterium
Lineage: Bacteria
Description: partial 16S ribosomal RNA
Rfam family: Bacterial small subunit ribosomal RNA
Source: RNAcentral
ACUCAAAUGAAUAGACGGGGACCCACACAAGCGGUGGAGCAUGGGGUUUAAUUCGAUAGUAAGCGAAGAACCUCACCUAGGCUUGACAUCUCGGGAACCCCGCGGAAACGCGGGGGUGCCGCAAGGAGCCCGAAGACAGGCGCUGCACGGUUGUCGUCAGCUCGUGCCUUGAGGUGUACUGUUAAGUCAGCGAACGAGCGCAACCCUCAUCCUGUGUUGAUUUUUCACGGGAGACUGCCGCCUCCAAGGCGGAGGAAGGUGGGGAUGACGUCAAAUCAGCGUGGCCCUUAUGCCUAGGGCGACACCCGUGCUACAAUGGUCGGUACAGAGGGUAGCCAACCCGCGAGGGGGAGCCAAUCCCACAAAGCCGGUCUCAGUUCGGAUUGAAGUCUGCAACUCGACUCCAUGAAGUUGGAAUCGCUAGUAACCGUGAAUCAGCCACGUCACGGUGAAUAUGUUCCUGGGUCUUGUACACACCGCCCGU